GAGUGAGGACGACCUCACCGCUCUUCCGAGCGACUCCUGACGGGGACGGCCCCA
This 54-nucleotide non-coding RNA is filed under the name Pseudomonas sp. Its description in RNAcentral is "Guanidine-II sequence". It matches the Rfam family "Guanidine-II riboswitch aptamer (mini-ykkC)". From Rfam's summary of the family: Simpler in structure and has fewer highly conserved nucleotide positions than the ykkC-yxkD leader. RNAcentral also lists the same sequence under 1 other name. Lineage: Bacteria; Pseudomonadati; Pseudomonadota; Gammaproteobacteria; Pseudomonadales; Pseudomonadaceae. The record is from RNAcentral.